This 588-nucleotide ribosomal RNA is filed under the name uncultured bacterium. RNAcentral describes it as "partial 16S ribosomal RNA". It matches the Rfam family "Bacterial small subunit ribosomal RNA", at positions 355 to 1375 of the family's 1533-position model. The record is from RNAcentral.
UGGGGAAUUUUGGACAAUGGGGGAAACCCUGAUCCAGCCAUCCCGCGUGUGCGAUGAAGGCCUUCGGGUUGUAAAGCACUUUUGGCAGGAAAGAAACGUCGCGGGUUAAUACCCCGCGAAACUGACGGUACCUGCAGAAUAAGCACCGGCUAACUACGUGCCAGCAGCCGCGGUAAUACGUAGGGUGCAAGCGUUAAUCGGAGUUACUGGGCGUAAAGCGUGCGCAGGCGGUUCGGAAAGAAAGAUGUGAAAUCCCAGAGCUUAACUUUGGAACUGCAUUUUUAACUACCGGGCUAGAGUGUGUCAGAGGGAGGUGGAAUUCCGCGUGUAGCAGUGAAAUGCGUAGAUAUGCGGAGGAACACCGAUGGCGAAGGCAGCCUCCUGGGAUAACACUGACGCUCAUGCACGAAAGCGUGGGGAGCAAACAGGAUUAGAUACCCUGGUAGUCCACGCCCUAAACGAUGUCAACUAGCUGUUGGGGCCUUCGGGCCUUGGUAGCGCAAAGCUAACGCGUGAAGUUGACCGCCUGGGGAGUACGGUCGCAAGAUUAAAACUCAAAUGAAUUGACGGGGUCAUAGCUGUUUUCCU